Molecule: transfer RNA, 78 nt
Filed under: Candidatus Bathyarchaeota archaeon
Lineage: Archaea; Thermoproteati; Candidatus Bathyarchaeota
Also listed under: 2 other names
Description: tRNA-Gly
Rfam family: tRNA
About the family: Transfer RNA (tRNA) molecules are approximately 80 nucleotides in length. Their secondary structure includes four short double-helical elements and three loops (D, anti-codon, and T loops). Further hydrogen bonds mediate the characteristic L-shaped molecular structure. tRNAs have two regions of fundamental functional importance: the anti-codon, which is responsible for specific mRNA codon recognition, and the 3' end, to which the tRNAs corresponding amino acid is attached (by aminoacyl-tRNA synthetases). tRNAs cope with the degeneracy of the genetic code in two manners: having more than one tRNA (with a specific anti-codon) for a particular amino acid; and 'wobble' base-pairing, i.e. permitting non-standard base-pairing at the 3rd anti-codon position.
Source: RNAcentral
GCGGCGGUCGUCUAGCCUGGACUAGGACUCGAGCCUCCCGAGCUCGUGACCCGGGUUCAAAUCCCGGCCGCCGCACCA